AAGUCGUAACAAGGUUUCCGUAGGUGAACCUGCGGAAGGAUCAUCAAUAAUCCAAAUGAUCAGUGACUUAAAAAACCACUGGUCUAACCUUCUUGUGAACCGUUUAUUGUUUAUUGGUUGGGAGUAUAACUGAGAUGUCAACUUUGUUGUCGGAUCGACUCCCAAUCGAUUAUCUUUAUACAAACUAUUUUAUUUUUGAAGUUGAUUAUUUUACAGGAAACUGUACUAAUAUAUAUACAACUUAUAGCGAUGGAUCUCUAGGCUCUG
RNAcentral lists this unclassified non-coding RNA (267 nucleotides) under fungal sp. Its description in RNAcentral is "partial internal transcribed spacer region". The stretch from base 1 to 46 matches the Rfam family "Eukaryotic small subunit ribosomal RNA", at positions 1786 to 1831 of the family's 1831-position model. RNAcentral also lists the same sequence under 1 other name. Lineage: Eukaryota; Fungi. The record is from RNAcentral.